GUUUAGGGGUAAACCUGAGAAACCCGAAAAGUCGAAGGGAGAAAUUCACCGCGGUUCGACGAAGGUGACGUUUUGACGCGUGACUGCGCUCUUCGGACGCGCGGCUCCGUCGAUUCGUUUUUUAUCGACGACGAACGCGUGCACUUUUCUCCCGGUAGGACGUCGCGAUCCGUUGGGUGUCGGUCUACGGCUGACGGUGGAGACCGCGAGUCGUUUUUCGAAACGUACGCGCGGACCCGUUUGCACCCCGACCGACUUGCUCGACGGUAUACGAACGGUUUGGGGCCGCUUUUAAAGCGUUCGACUCCGGCUUUCGGGCCGCGAAGUUCUCGGACAGACCCUUAAACCGAUCUGCGACGCUAUAGCUUUGGGUACUUUCAGGGCCCGUCUUGAAACACGGACCAAGGAGUCUAGCAUAUACGCGAGUCAUUGGGAAUCACUAAACCUAAAGGCGUAAUGAAAGUAAAACUUUUCCUCGCGGAAAGUUAGGGAAGACGGGCGGUUUGCCGUUAAAAGCGGCCGUCCCGCAUUCCCGGGGUGUCUCGUUCUCAUUGCGAGAUGAGGCGCACCAAGAGCGUAUACGCUGGGACCCGAAAGAUGGUGAACUAUGCCUGGUCAGGACGAAGUCAGGGGAAACCCUGAUGGAGGUCCGUAGCGAUUCUGACGUGCAAAUCGAUCGUCGGAACUGGGUAUAGGGGCGAAAGACUAAUCGAACCAUC
RNAcentral lists this ribosomal RNA (719 nucleotides) under Scolytus scolytus. RNAcentral's name for it is "eukaryotic LSU rRNA". It matches the Rfam family "Eukaryotic large subunit ribosomal RNA", at positions 407 to 944 of the family's 3401-position model. The record is from RNAcentral. Lineage: Eukaryota; Metazoa; Arthropoda; Insecta; Coleoptera; Curculionidae.